RNAcentral lists this long non-coding RNA (951 nucleotides) under Triticum aestivum (bread wheat). RNAcentral describes it as "long non-coding RNA (TAES_LNC005567)". Lineage: Eukaryota; Viridiplantae; Streptophyta; Magnoliopsida; Poales; Poaceae. The record is from RNAcentral.
UUUUUAGUCGUAUAUAACCAGUUGUCCGACCAAGACAUGUGAACUGCUAUUAGCAACAACAAAAAAAGACAUGUGAACUGCUAUUUUUUCUACACAAAGAUUCGUAAAGAAAGGCACGAGGGUCUUAUUUUAUAUUGACUCGGUGAGCUGGACAAUGGAAGAGGGGUUAGGUAUACAAGUGCGUAAGCCAUUAUUCUUGUGUUUAAAAUUUUAUUAAACUAUAGAAGUUGUUGAAUCUGUGGAGGGACCAUGCCGCCAAUGGGCCGCCGUCAGGGGACCAACGGACCGUACAGAUAUGCUUCCAUUGCACCGUGAAAGUCGGUAGCCUGUAACAUAAGCUUCAGCUUUGGAGAGCAACCGCAGCCAGGAUUACAUCACUAACACUUACAACUUCCUUCUAGUAUUAUAGCAGUAUAACUGAUAAAGAAUUUUGUGUAGUAAUAACAGUUAUCUACAAGAUGUACUUCCAAUUUAUUCCAUCAGUUAUGUCUAUGGAUUCUUUCAAGACAUAUAUGUUUUACUCACGAGCACCCGUCGAGGCUUCAUCUGAAUCCUCCGCAUGAGGCUAGUCAUAGUGGGAGUAACUUAGCAAGUAACAUAGCACACUCCGAGAUUUUUUUGCUUAUGUGGCAUGUAGUUAAUGAGAAGUGGUAACAUAAUAUGUUACUGUAACAUAGCGCUUUUCAAGACAAGAUGAGUCUACAAACUAAUUAAUAAAGUCCUCCAUGACACUACUACUAUGUUAUUUUGCACUAUGAAGGUAGUAACUUAGGCUAGUAUUAUAUGCAUGACACUAAUAUAAGUUACUCCUCACUAUGACCAGCCUGAGACUUCCAUCAGAGCUUGGGAACAAUUCUUCUUCCAUGGGAAGGUCUAGUUGGCAGGUUCAAAUCUUCCCACUGUGGAUCGUCGACCUUGGAGAAAUAUUUUGCAACUACCCCGUCAUGCACU